This 403-nucleotide ribosomal RNA is filed under the name uncultured bacterium. Its description in RNAcentral is "partial 16S ribosomal RNA". It matches the Rfam family "Bacterial small subunit ribosomal RNA", at positions 30 to 526 of the family's 1533-position model. The record is from RNAcentral.
AUUGAACGCUGGCGGCAGGCCUAACACAUGCAAGUCGAGCGAGCGGCGGACGGGUGAGUAAUGUAUGGGGACUGCCCGAUAGAGGUGGAUCACUACUGGAAACGGUAGCUAAUACCGCAUACUAUCGGAUAACCCAUAUGGGAUUAGCUAGUAGGUGAGGUAAUGUCUCACCUAGGCGACGAUCCCUAGCUGGUCUGAGAGGAUGAUCAGCCAAACUGGGACUGAGACACGGCCCAGACGCCUACGGAGGCAGCAGUGGGGAAUAUUGCACAAUGGGCGCAAGCCGGAUGCAGCCAUGUCGCGUGUAUGAAGAAGGCCCUAGGGUUGUAAAGUACGUUCAGUCGGGAGGCGUUACCGACAGAAGAAGCACCGGCUAACUCCGUGCCAGCAGCCGCGGUAAUAC